RNAcentral lists this transfer RNA (71 nucleotides) under Marmota monax (woodchuck). RNAcentral describes it as "tRNA.Thr". It matches the Rfam family "tRNA". Rfam says of the family: Transfer RNA (tRNA) molecules are approximately 80 nucleotides in length. Their secondary structure includes four short double-helical elements and three loops (D, anti-codon, and T loops). The record is from RNAcentral. Lineage: Eukaryota; Metazoa; Chordata; Mammalia; Rodentia; Sciuridae.
GGGGCUGUAGCUCAGUGGCAGAGCACUUGCCUAGUAUGCAUGAGGCACUGGGUUUAAUCCUCAGCACCACA